Molecule: ribosomal RNA, 413 nt
Filed under: uncultured bacterium
Lineage: Bacteria
Description: bacterial SSU rRNA
Rfam family: Bacterial small subunit ribosomal RNA
Source: RNAcentral
UGGCGGACGGGUGAGAAACACGUGGGUAACCUGCCUCAAAGAGGGGGAUAGCCUUCCGAAAGGAAGAUUAAUACCGCAUAAGCUUACAGCAUCGCAUGAUGCCGUAAGAAAAGGAGUAAUCCGCUUUGAGAUGGACCCGCGGCGCAUUAGCUAGUUGGUGAGGUAACGGCUCACCAAGGCCGCGAUGCGUAGCCGACCUGAGAGGGUGAUCGGCCACAUUGGAACUGAGACACGGUCCAGACUCCUACGGGAGGCAGCAGUGGGGAAUAUUACACAAUGGAGGAAACUCUGAUGUAGCAACGCCGCGUGGAGGAUGACACAUUUCGGUGCGUAAACUCCUUUUAUAUGGGAAGAUAAUGACGGUACCAUAUGAAUAAGCACCGGCUAACUCCGUGCCAGCAGCCGCGGUAAUA